CCAGCUCCAAUAGCGUAUAUUAAAGUUGUUGUGGUUAAAAAGCUCGUAGUUGGAUCUCGGCGGACAGAAGUCGGUCCGAUUGCUUUCGGUACUGGCUUGUUUGUCCGUGUGUUUUGCCAGAGGCAGGCGGGUGCUCUUCGCCGAGUGUCCGUUUGUGCUGGCAGGUUUACUUUGAAAAAAUUAGAGUGCUUAAAGCAAGCUCCCACGCUUGAAUAUUCGUGCAUGGAAUAAUAGAAUAGGAUGUCGUUCCUAUUUUGUUGGUUUUCGGGAAUCGACAUAAUGAUUAAUAGGGACAGUCGGGGGCAUUUGUAUUCAAACGACAGAGGUGAAAUUCUUGGACCGUUUGAAGACAAACUACUGCGAAAGCAUUUGCCAAGAAUGUUUUCAUUAAUCAAGAACGAAAGUUAGAGGUUCGAAGGCGAUUAGAUACCGCCCUAGUUCUAACCAUAAACGAUGCCAGCUAGCGAUCUGCAGGCGUUUUACUUUACGACCUUGCAGGGAGCUUCCGGGAAACCAAAGCUUGUGGGUUCCAGGGGAAGUAUGGUUGCAAAGCUGAAACUUAAAGGAAUUGACGGAAGGGCACCACCAGGAGUGGAGCCUGCGGCUUAAUUCGACUCAACC
RNAcentral lists this ribosomal RNA (621 nucleotides) under Copepoda environmental sample. RNAcentral describes it as "SSU rRNA". It matches the Rfam family "Eukaryotic small subunit ribosomal RNA", at positions 585 to 1205 of the family's 1831-position model. Lineage: Eukaryota; Metazoa; Arthropoda; Copepoda. The record is from RNAcentral.